RNAcentral lists this long non-coding RNA (1270 nucleotides) under Anser brachyrhynchus (Pink-footed goose). Its description in RNAcentral is "lncRNA (ENSABRG00000017049.1)". The record is from RNAcentral. Lineage: Eukaryota; Metazoa; Chordata; Aves; Anseriformes; Anatidae.
UCAGAACUCGUGAUUAGAGGAUAUCUUCUUCCAUCAGUGUGGCUGUAUAAGUGUGAUCUAGGGUCUAUGCCUGUGGGUUGUUUUUUUUUUUUUUUUUUUUUUUUUUUUUUUUUUUUACUUACAAGACUUUUUUUUACCCAUAGGAAUUGCCUGCUGUUAUUAUUUGGAGAAAACAAAUUGGAGAUUUCUCCUUGGUGCUUAGAUAGCAGCAGAGAUGCUUGGAGAUCCCUAUAUAUUGAACAGAGGAGUUGGACAAUAGAGUCAAAUUGAAGGAAGCAAGCAACAUGCUGAGCAUUCACCAUUGGUGGAGAAGACUGAAAUUCCCAUGUGUGGAAGAGAAUGUGAAAAGAAGUGAGGGGAAGAGGAAAAAUAGAAAACGAAGAAGGUUCUGAUGUUUAGCUUCCUUCCUGCCUUAAGUUUCAACUGGAAGACUUGCAGUUAAUGGUCAAAGGCUGCUGUUUGGCUCGGCUACCUUGGCAAUGUGCUCAAGUAGAAGGACUGGAUCUUUCUUGCAAGGCAGGAGAAGUGUUGGUAACCCUUUCUGAGGGGUGCUAGGGCACGGUUUAAUUUGCUUGGGGACAUCCACAGAGAGCUCCCAGACUCAGAUCUGUUGGAGGAGCUGGCUUGGGUUUCAUGCCAUUGCUGCUGGAGGCAGCAGCUGAGCAGUCAAUGGCAUAAGCCCAGAAUGGGCAUAACAAUGCAGAGGGUAAUAGAAAGCUGCCCUGGGAGGGGGAGACAAGGGAAUUAGGGAGGAAAGCUAGCAAAGAGGUGAAAAAGUCAUCAUACCGAGAUGCUGCUACAAAAUCACUGGUAGUCUGCUAUGUAUACUGCUCAGUGACAGGCUGCAGCUCUGUUCGUCCUCAGCCUCCUCCUUCCCUUCAAAUCCCGCCUCUCACUUCAGAGGAUGGUCUGAUGUUUCUGCAUUAAGUAUUUCAGAACAUGAGUAUUUGCAAGCAAGCUGCGGAUUAAAUGAGUAGCCUGACCUCAGGUUGCAAGUUGGAUAGCCAAGCUAGGCUGGGGUUGGGCCUUUCUAGUCCCUGCUGCUGGGCAUGGAUGACUGCAGCAAGGAUAACCAGUUUAUGGGGUGAGAGAGAGAAAGGAGAGCGAGGCAGAGCCUGCUUUUGUGACCUGCUGUGAAUUAGGUUCUUCUGGGAGUGAUGGGAAUCCUGAAUUCCACUCCUGAUUCAGAGAAUGUUUAUGCACUUUGCAUUAAGGUGUUUUUGAAUAACAGCAUUCAAAAGCAGGAUCCAGACCCUAGGACCCUUUUUUC